CACGUAGGCACCAAGCGUUGUCCGGAUUUAUUGGGCGUAAAGAGCUCGUAGGCGGUUCAGUAAGUCGGGUGUGAAAACUCUGGGCUCAACCCAGAGACGCCACCCGAUACUGCUGUGACUUGAGUACGGUAGGGGAGUGGGGAAUUCCUGGUGUAGCGGUGAAAUGCGCAGAUAUCAGGAGGAACACCAGUGGCGAAGGCGCCACUCUGGGCCGUAACUGACGCUGAGGAGCGAAAGCGUGGGUAACAAACAGG
Molecule: ribosomal RNA, 254 nt
Filed under: uncultured bacterium
Lineage: Bacteria
Description: partial 16S ribosomal RNA
Rfam family: Bacterial small subunit ribosomal RNA
Source: RNAcentral